AAACAACACUAACGGAAACAUCAACGUGAAAGCAAAAGACGGACGGACGCCCUCUGUCCGUGUUUGUGUGUUCAAAAGUUCAACGUGGCCCCCGUCGUCGCGCAGCAGUCGCACUCAAACUUUGUUCCAGUCACAAACACACACACACACACAAACACACACCUCGACAGCCACACACUCCCACACACCCACGAAGAAGAGUAGCAAUCAGCAAGCACACACAAUGCAUAGCAGCGAAUAAGCGUGUAAGGUGCAAUAAUAGUAAUAACGGCAUUUGCAUGAAAUGCAGCAUCACACAGAAGUUACAGCUGACAAAGGGAGAUAGCGAUAUGCUUGUAGAUAAGCAGAAAGGGAGAGAGGGGCAGGCUGAUCAAAUAGGUGCGAGAGCAUGGAGUGGAGAGAGCUCUCCACCAAAGCUACAAACUUCAACGGAGAAAGAGAGUGAGAGUGCGAGCGAGAAACAGUUGUUGGUGUGCCUACAGCGUACAUUGAUCGUGAAGCUAAGGACAUGGAUGGUUAGCAGAGUCUCAGAUUUGACAAGUCAAAAGUGCAUUUACUGUUAACUUGUCGAAGUCACAACUUAAUUUACAACAGAGACGCCAAGUGCAUUUAGCAGUUAGCCAGUGAGAGAGUCGCCUCGGGAGUACAACGAGAUAGAGAUAGAGUGUAAAACAAAGACAGAGACAGAGACAGAGACAGCGAUAGCUGGAGAGGGCCCCAGAGGGCAAACGACAAAGAGAAAGGGUCAAUGAGCGACUGACGAGAUGGGUGAUUCCAAUCAGCACUUAGCCAUUGCAUCCCUGUGCCUCAGGGCUCAUUGAGAGUGCAAGUCAGUCAGUCAGUCCCCCCGGCGGACAGCGUCCCGUCCAGCUUCCCGGACUGUGGGGAAUUCGAGAUUUGCACUCGAGUUCGAAAGCGACAAUAUUGUUGCAAGUUGGUGCAGCCAGUGGCCGCAGUGGUGGCAUGCCUUAAAAAUAGAACGAGAGAAAGAGAAUAAAUUAAAAUACAAACCAAAAACCAACAAAAAUAAAUAAAACUCUGGGUAGAUGAGGCAGCGACAGGCAGAGGAGGAACAGCGGCUACUUGCAACGCGGAGUUGAAUGCGCCUCGUCGUGGGUGUCGCGCACAUAUAUACUCGUAUAUAAAUAUCAUCUUAUUUUUUUUUGCUGUUAUUCUAUAGUUCAUAAAUGUAUAUUUUGGUUUGAAAAAUAAACAAGUGAAAGAAAAGUAGUGGCCCAUUGUGGCCGCAAAUGGAAAUUCGUAUGAAAAUGUCCACUCGGCAACAGGAAAAUCAACAACAGCAGCAACAACAACAGAAACAACAACAAAAGCAACAGCAGAAACAACAACAUCACCAACAACAACAGCAACAAUCAGAGCCAGUGGCUCUGCAACAACUUGAGGAAAAACUUCAACAACAUCAGGAAAAACUACUCAGAAAAGUUAAAGAACUUGAAGAGCAUCAGGUAUACCUGGCUACACAUACGGAAACAUUGAAGCACCACCAGAAGGCAGGACUACAACAAAAGGGUGAAGGAAUCAUAGAGCUACAGGCAAAGGAUCAGCAGAAAAAACUUCAACAACAGUUGCAAAAAGUUCAACAACAGCGAAUGCAGUUAACCAGUUCAACAUAAGCCACCACUCCAUCAUCACAGACGGCUGUCGGAUCGCUCUUUGACUUUUCGCACACUCACACAAACACUGAAACAACACACACAUAUACAUAUAUAGAUACAAAUACAUAUGCAUAAAUGGCAAUAUGGACGGACAGCAGCAGCAUUUGUGUUGUAUCCUUAUACUACUCCUUGUACGCCUUGCACAGUGACGCGCGCGUGCCAAAAAUUUUGCCGAUUUUAUCAAGAGAAAAGCAGAAGCAGCAGAAGCAGAAGCAGAAGCAUCAGCAGCGGCACUGGCAGUGGCAGCCAUUAACUGAAGGAGCAGAAGCUGGAGCAGCAGGAGGAGCAGCUGCAGCCACUGAACCUCCUACAGAAACAACGAAUAUUGCAAAAGGGCGGCGCAAACUAUCACAGUGGGUAUACCAAAAAGCACACCCAUACAAGUGUAUGAGCACACACUCACACAGACAUCCAGACACACACAAACACUGUAUAUAUGUGCAAAUGCAUGCACAUACCCCUUG
This 2140-nucleotide long non-coding RNA is filed under the name Drosophila guanche. The record is from RNAcentral. Lineage: Eukaryota; Metazoa; Arthropoda; Insecta; Diptera; Drosophilidae.